UACGUAGGGUGCGAGCGUUAAUCGGAAUUACUGGGCGUAAAGUGUGCGCAGGCGGCCGCGCAAGUCGAGUGUGAAAGCCCCGAGCUUAACUUGGGAAUUGCGCUCGAAACUACGUGGCUGGAGUGUGGCAGAGGAAGGUGGAAUUCCAGGUGUAGCGGUGAAAUGCGUAGAGAUCUGGAGGAACACCGAUGGCGAAGGUGGCAUUCUGGACCGAUAUUGACGCUGAGGAGCGAAAGCCAGGGGAGCAAACGGG
RNAcentral lists this ribosomal RNA (253 nucleotides) under uncultured bacterium. Its description in RNAcentral is "partial 16S ribosomal RNA". It matches the Rfam family "Bacterial small subunit ribosomal RNA", at positions 524 to 776 of the family's 1533-position model. The record is from RNAcentral.